UCCGGGCAAAACAAUGCCGCCGCUACAGGCAACCGUCGAAUAAAGACGAAUUUGAAAUUUCCGACUCUGUCCCGACCAGUAUAAAUAUACAGACGCAAUCACGUGCGAUACAGUAUCGAACAGUUCAUAUCGAGUAUCAACGAGUAUUAACUACGCGACGAACAAUAACGAGUAUUUAUUCCGAGUUUUAUAUUGUAUCAACGACUCACUUUGUCAGACGGAAUUCCCGAUGCCAUACGUACUCCGACGGAUACUAUACCAGCAUUUUCUUAGCAGAAGGGUUGCUAAAGAUAAAAUGUCAUCUUACUGACGCAAUACAUGUUAAUGAAAAAGGCGCACCUAUACAAACAGGAAAACAGAAAUCCUUAACAAAAGAAAAAACAAAGAACAGUUGCAUACAACAAGAACAGCAUUGCGCUCCUUACGUGAAAAGAUAAGAGAAUCGUCACAAUGCUUAGCAACUAUAAUCAUACAAGAAUACAAUCUACCCUCAGCAUAUUACGCGGUGGUGAUGUUAUAUCAAUCGAUAAACCUGAAAUAGUUUUACGGUGUCGAUCGUGCGGAUUAAUUCGGUGUAUUGCUUUAUGUGGAAAUCAUUGAAAUAGCGAAGAAAAUUAUUUUCUGGGGGACUGGAAAUGUGCAUUAUCAAUUCUUACAUGAAUUACCAAACCUUAGAAGAAAGAAAGAGUAAAAAACCAAUAACACAUUAAAGGUUUGUCAAAAGUCUCAUAAAUCAGUUGAGAGGUGAUUUUCAUGAAUCAAGAACACGUCCAUCCACAUCUUGGUCGAACAAUAGACUGAACAAUAAACAACAUAUAUGCUAUGUGACAGGAAGAAAACGGGACUGUAUUGCUUGUUCUUAUAGAAAAACACCAAGUGGAAGACGACGAAUUGCUUCAAAAUUGAUCAUGCUGCGGAAAAUAAUGAGAAAUAAAAUUUUGAUUUAUUAGCAAAAAAUAUGUUCCUCACUGUCUAUAAAUUCAUAUAGAUCAAAUACCAUUAGAAUCCAUUAUUUGGUUCCAAAGCUAUGUACUAUAUAAUAUGUGGCGACACUCGACCUUGGAAAUUUCCAACGGUUUCGCGGCACGAGGCGCUUUAUCUUAAAAGCGCUAUGCCGACGAGCCUUAGGUGUCAUCGAUAUCCCUACGGCUCCUUCGCCGAACUUUCGGGAGACCGCACACGUGGCAGUCGUCACGGACUUCUAAACAAACGCGCGCGAUAUCGAUGGCUAACAAAGAAAUGAAUCAGCGUGGCUUUUGAAUCAAAGAGAUUGAGUCUGCCCCGAGCUGCGAAGUGCGAAGGAUUACGUGAUACGAGCGCUCUACUUCCUAUAACCUGCGUUAAGCGCUGAUCGUUACCAAGCGUGCUAACUGUUAAUUGUUAAUUGUUACUUGUGCUAAUUGUUAUUUGUUGCUUGUUGUUAUUGGACGUCAGUU
This 1436-nucleotide unclassified non-coding RNA is filed under the name Bombus terrestris (buff-tailed bumblebee). Its description in RNAcentral is "misc RNA ENSBTSG00005037380.1". Lineage: Eukaryota; Metazoa; Arthropoda; Insecta; Hymenoptera; Apidae. The record is from RNAcentral.